This is a non-coding RNA of Pelobates cultripes (western spadefoot toad), 213 nucleotides long. NCBI's taxonomy places the organism in Eukaryota, Metazoa, Chordata, Amphibia, Anura, Pelobatidae. The record is from the annotation of a GenBank genome assembly.
GUGUCUUUUUUAAGGUGUGUGUCUGUCAUGGUGUGUGUGUCUGUCUGUGUCAUGGUGUGUCUGUCUGUCAUGGUAUGUGUGUGUUUCUGUCUGUGUCACGGUCUGUCUGUGUCAUGGUGUGUGUCUGUCAUGUAAUGUGUGUCUGUGUCACGGUCUGUGUGUCAUGGUGUGUGUGUGUGUUUGUCUGUGUCAUGUAAUGUGUGUCUGUCUGUG